Molecule: long non-coding RNA, 2264 nt
Filed under: Anthonomus grandis grandis
Lineage: Eukaryota; Metazoa; Arthropoda; Insecta; Coleoptera; Curculionidae
Description: uncharacterized LOC126739605
Source: RNAcentral
AUCUCUAAAAAAUUAUAUAAAAAAGGAGUCAAUAUCCCAUUAUCGCUCUUCCUGAAGCGCAUAAAGGUGUUAACUCGCAACGUUUCUGCAAGAAGGUGUCAACAGAGUAGUUAACAUCUUUUUGCAGAACACGCAGAAGCAUUAUUAUUUAGCACGUGUUCCACCGUACUGUUGUAUUUGUUUUUGGUGCAAAUCUGUUUUGGUGAAGAUAAAAUAUUAAAUAUUUCUAACCUAAUUUUGAUCGUAAUAUUAGUGAGAGGAUGAACCAAAAUAGCAGAACCAACCGUAUCUUAGCGCUGGCACUUCGGGAAUAUCAAGAAGAGGAACCGUUUCAAGAUUCUGGUUCUGAAUAUAUUCCUGAAACAAACCAUGAUAGGAGAUAUUAUCACCGCCUAUCCAGCUUAGCUUUUUGUUUUCAGAAUUUAGUUCAUCUGAGGAAGAUAUCUUUUGGAUACUGGAAAUUCUUGUAAUAUUAAAAGUACUUAUAAAUCUGUUCAAGCACUCGACAAGGAAAACGACUAUACAGAUGAAGGUCUUCUAAUUACUCAGGAAAUUGGGAACAACAAUGAAAAUAAAUGUUUUUUCCUGCUGAAAAACUCAACUUUGAAAUACAAGGUAAUUUUUUUUGAGGAAAAACUAAUUCUAGAAUAGUGAUUUUUAAGAAUAAUUUAAAAUUUUUAUAUAUGCAAAAAAUAAUUUCUUUUGUUGAAGAUAGACAGAACGUUGAAGAUAUGGAAGUGGUCAAGAUCAAGAUCAUCAUACAAGAUUCGAUUCGAACAAAAAAAAAAUCUAGAAAAGUUAGACCAAAACCAGAAACUUGGAAGAGAAAUGAAAAAAAAUAAUAAGGCUGCUGGAAAAUCAUAUACAGACUAUAAGGAUUAGGUGCAGCCAGCUAAAGUGCCAAGUGUAGGUAAGAUAUUGUGUAAAGAAAAUUGUCGCCUAAAAUGCGAUUUACGUUUCACGGAUGAAGACAGAAGCUUACUGUUUAACCAGUAUAUGUAUUACAAACUGACGAGAAAAAUUUAUACUUAUUUAGUUUGAUGAAACCCACUGAAGUAAAGGGGCCCACAUUACAUGCAGUUCGCUCCAAAUCUUACGAGUAUUUUUUUUAAAUAAAUGGAGAGUCUCGAAAGGUUUGUAAAGAUGCGGUCUUAUCUAUGCUUGACAUUGGCAGAAAAAAAUUUGAUUUGAUUCGAAAUCAAAUAAUAGCUGGUAAAACAACUCCAAAAAGAGAUAAAAAAGGUCAUCACCAUAAUCGGCCUAAAGCCAUACCUGCAGAAACCAAAACGAUUGUUCAUGAACAUAUCAAGUCUUUCCCAGCAAAAAUGUCCCACUAUUCUCGUAAUAAGAACCCUUCUCGGAACAAUUCUAUUGUACAGAAAAAUAUUUGUUGAAGAUUUCAACUUAGGAUUUGGUACUCCACGAUCGGAUACUUGCAAAGUGUGCGACUCUAGUGAAGCAACAGAUAAACAUUUUGCGAAAUUUAAGAUAGCCUUUGAACAACAAAAAAAAGACCGGGAGCUGGCCAAAGCUAAUAACAAUGUUCUACACAUUACUUUUGACAUGCAGAAAACUAUGCCGUUGCCCAAAAUUUCAACUAGCAUUGCAUUUUAUUUGAGACAGAUAUGGCUUCACAACUUAGGAGUGCACGUUAUUAGCACAAACCAGAGAAACGGCAGGGGGUAUUUUCAUCUUUGGACAGAAGACAAGGGAGGUCGUGGACCUGAGGAGAUUGGAAGUUUCCUGAAGUGGGCCACACAUUUAUGGAUUCUGAUCGAGAUGUUGCAGCUGUUGAAAAUGAAGUAAGAAAACAUUAGAAUAUUUAUACAGUUGAUCAGUAUGUAAACACCAUGGUAGAUUAUAGAAAAAAAAAACUCCAUUUCAAAUCAUAAGAAUAGAGGAUAAGUUUUUGGCUAUUAAACAAUUGGCUAAUAAAUUAAAAUUAGUAAAAAAAAAAAUCAGAGUGGUGAAAAAAUAGUUUUUAAGGAUGUAACGUGGAUAAAAAUUUCAAAAUUUGGUAAAACAAAGAUAUUCCCUAAGUGAAGAAGAAAGUUGGAAAGAAGUUUCCAUUCUAAAAGGCAAAGGUACUACAACUCGCCAGUCAACUUCAACUACAUGUGAGCUAUUAUCGCCCGUUGAUAAAAGUAGGCUGAUAGCAUCUAAAAAAUGCGAAAAUAUCCAACAGCAAAUGGCAUACAUUCCUGAGAUCUUCCGGGCUUUUUACCUUGGCCUCAGAAAAGAAGACGAAGAUUAACUAUACUCCU